This 526-nucleotide ribosomal RNA is filed under the name uncultured bacterium. RNAcentral describes it as "bacterial SSU rRNA". It matches the Rfam family "Bacterial small subunit ribosomal RNA", at positions 777 to 1301 of the family's 1533-position model. The record is from RNAcentral.
AAUAGAUACCCCGGUAGUCCACGCCGUAAACGAUGAGUGCUAAGUGUUAGAGGGUUUCCGCCCUUUAGUGCUGCAGCUAACGCAUUAAGCACUCCGCCUGGGGAGUACGGUCGCAAGACUGAAACUCAAAGGAAUUGACGGGGGCCCGCACAAGCGGUGGAGCAUGUGGUUUAAUUCGAAGCAACGCGAAGAACCUUACCAGGUCUUGACAUCCUCUGACAACUCUAGAGAUAGAGCGUUCCCCUUCGGGGGACAGAGUGACAGGUGGUGCAUGGUUGUCGUCAGCUCGUGUCGUGAGAUGUUGGGUUAAGUCCCGCAACGAGCGCAACCCUUGAUCUUAGCUGCCAGCAUUCAGUUGGGCACUCUAAGGUGACUGCCGGUGACAAACCGGAGGAAGGUGGGGAUGACGUCAAAUCAUCAUGCCCCUUAUGACCUGGGCUACACACGUGCUACAAUGGAUGGUACAAAGGGCUGCAAGACCGCGAGGUCAAGCCAAUCCCAUAAAACCAUUCUCAGUUCGGAUUGU